RNAcentral lists this ribosomal RNA (501 nucleotides) under uncultured Pseudomonadales bacterium. RNAcentral's name for it is "bacterial SSU rRNA". It matches the Rfam family "Bacterial small subunit ribosomal RNA", at positions 30 to 523 of the family's 1533-position model. The record is from RNAcentral. Lineage: Bacteria; Pseudomonadati; Pseudomonadota; Gammaproteobacteria; Pseudomonadales.
AUUGAACGCUGGCGGCAGGCUUAACACAUGCAAGUCGAGCGGAGAUGAGGUGCUUGCACCUUAUCUUAGCGGCGGACGGGUGAGUAAUGCUUAGGAAUCUGCCUAUUAGUGGGGGACAACAUUCCGAAAGGAAUGCUAAUACCGCAUACGUCCUACGGGAGAAAGCAGGGGAUCUUCGGACCUCGCGCUAAUAGAUGAGCCUAAGUCGGAUUAGCUAGUUGGUGGGGUAAAGGCCUACCAAGGCGACGAUCUGUAGCGGGUCUGAGAGGAUGAUCCGCCACACUGGGACUGAGACACGGCCCAGACUCCUACGGGAGGCAGCAGUGGGGAAUAUUGGACAAUGGGGGGAACCCUGAUCCAGCCAUGCCGCGUGUGUGAAGAAGGCCUUAUGGUUGUAAAGCACUUUAAGCGAGGAGGAGGCUACUGAGACUAAUACUCUUGGAUAGUGGACGUUACUCGCAGAAUAAGCACCGGCUAACACUGUGCCAGCAGCCGCGGUAA